Molecule: non-coding RNA, 73 nt
Organism: Thoreauomyces humboldtii
Lineage: Eukaryota; Fungi; Chytridiomycota; Chytridiomycetes; Spizellomycetales; Powellomycetaceae
Source: the annotation of a GenBank genome assembly
GGGGGAUUAGCUCAAAUGGCAGAGCGCCCGCUUAGCAUGCGGGAGGCAGGGAGAUCGAUACUCCCAUUCUCCA